AGUGAACGCUGGCGGCAGGCCUAACACAUGCAAGUCGAGCGGCAGCGGGUCCCCGCGAGGGGAGUGCCGGCGAGCGGCGGACGGGUGAGGAACACAUCGGAAUCUGCCUGGUUGUGGGGGAGUAACGUAGGGAAACUUACGCUAAUACCGCAUGAGACCCUGAGUCGACGGACUGGGGGUGAAAGUGAGGGGCCUUCGGGCCGUCACGCGACCAGAUGAGCCGAUGUCGGAUUAGCUAGUUGGCGGGGUAACGGCCCG
RNAcentral lists this ribosomal RNA (258 nucleotides) under uncultured bacterium. RNAcentral describes it as "partial 16S ribosomal RNA". It matches the Rfam family "Bacterial small subunit ribosomal RNA", at positions 30 to 267 of the family's 1533-position model. The record is from RNAcentral.